GGGCGGUUAGCUCAGCGGUAGAGCACUGCCUUCACACGGCAGGGGUCAGGUGUUCGAAACACCUACCGCCCACCA
RNAcentral lists this transfer RNA (75 nucleotides) under Gallionella sp. RNAcentral's name for it is "tRNA-Val". It matches the Rfam family "tRNA". From Rfam's summary of the family: Transfer RNA (tRNA) molecules are approximately 80 nucleotides in length. Their secondary structure includes four short double-helical elements and three loops (D, anti-codon, and T loops). Further hydrogen bonds mediate the characteristic L-shaped molecular structure. tRNAs have two regions of fundamental functional importance: the anti-codon, which is responsible for specific mRNA codon recognition, and the 3' end, to which the tRNAs corresponding amino acid is attached (by aminoacyl-tRNA synthetases). tRNAs cope with the degeneracy of the genetic code in two manners: having more than one tRNA (with a specific anti-codon) for a particular amino acid; and 'wobble' base-pairing, i.e. permitting non-standard base-pairing at the 3rd anti-codon position. Lineage: Bacteria; Pseudomonadati; Pseudomonadota; Betaproteobacteria; Nitrosomonadales; Gallionellaceae. The record is from RNAcentral. RNAcentral also lists the same sequence under 2 other names.